RNAcentral lists this transfer RNA (85 nucleotides) under bacterium. RNAcentral describes it as "tRNA-Leu". It matches the Rfam family "tRNA". From Rfam's summary of the family: Transfer RNA (tRNA) molecules are approximately 80 nucleotides in length. Their secondary structure includes four short double-helical elements and three loops (D, anti-codon, and T loops). The record is from RNAcentral.
GCCGUUGUGAUGGAAUUGGUAGACAUGACAGACUUAAAAUCUGUUGGGCUGAAAGCCCGUGGCGGUUCGAGUCCGCCCAGCGGUA